AGCGAACGCUGGCGGCAGGCCUAACACAUGCAAGUCGAGCGCCCGUAGCAAUACGGGAGCGGCAGACGGGAUAGUAACACGUGGGAACGUACCCUUCAGUUCGGAACAACCCAGGGAAACUUGGGCUAAUACCGAAUACGUCCGUAAGGAGAAAGAUUUAUCGCUGAAGGAUCGGCCCGCGUCUGAUUAGCUAGUUGGUGAGGUAAUGGCUCACCAAGGCGACGAUCAGUAGCNGGUCUGAGAGGAUGAUCAGCAUCACUGGGACUGAGACACGGCCCAGACUCCUACGGGAGGCAGCAGUGGGGAAUAUUGGACAAUGGGCGCAAGCCUGAUCCAGCCAUGCCGCGUGGAUGAUGAAGGCCCUAGGGUUGUAAAGUCCUUUCGGCGGGGAAGGAUAAUGACGGUACCCGCAGAAGAAGCCCCGGCCUAACUUCGUGCCAGCCGCCGCCGUAA
Molecule: ribosomal RNA, 453 nt
Filed under: uncultured bacterium
Lineage: Bacteria
Description: bacterial SSU rRNA
Rfam family: Bacterial small subunit ribosomal RNA
Source: RNAcentral